This 526-nucleotide ribosomal RNA is filed under the name uncultured Chloroflexota bacterium. RNAcentral describes it as "bacterial SSU rRNA". It matches the Rfam family "Bacterial small subunit ribosomal RNA", at positions 355 to 897 of the family's 1533-position model. Lineage: Bacteria; Bacillati; Chloroflexota. The record is from RNAcentral.
UGAGGAAUAUUGCCCAAUGGGGGAAACCCUGAGGCAGCAACGCCGCGUGAGGGAUGAAGGCCUUCGGGUCGUAAACCUCUUUUCUGAGGGACGAGCAAGGACGGUACCUCAGGAAUAAGUACCGGCUGACUACGUGCCAGCAGCCGCGGUAAAACGUAGGGUGCGAGCGUUAUCCGGAUUUACUGGGCGUAAAGCGCACGCAGGUGGCUUGGCAAGUUGGACGUGAAAGCUCCUGGCUUAACUGGGAGAGGUCGUUCGAGACUGCUGGGCUUGAGGUUGGGAGAGGGGUAUGGAAUUCCCGGUGUAGUGGUGGAAUGCGUAGAUAUCGGGAGGAACACCAGUGGCGAAGGCGGUACCCUGGCCCACACCUGACGCUGAGGUGCGAAAGCGUGGGUAGCAAACAGGAUUAGAUACCCUGGUAGUCCACGCUGUAAACGAUGUCAACUAGGUGUUGGUAGUGUUACACUAUCAGUGCCGAAGCCAACGCGUUAAGUUGACCGCCUGGGGACUACGGCCGCAAGGCUAA